RNAcentral lists this transfer RNA (83 nucleotides) under Variovorax sp. PAMC28562. RNAcentral's name for it is "tRNA-OTHER". The record is from RNAcentral. Lineage: Bacteria; Pseudomonadati; Pseudomonadota; Betaproteobacteria; Burkholderiales; Comamonadaceae.
GCUCGGAUGUGUUUAGGCUUGACUUAAAAUCCGCCGCUUCCUGAAUAAGGAGCAUGCCGGUUCGAUUCCGGCUCCGGGCACCA